This 497-nucleotide ribosomal RNA is filed under the name uncultured bacterium. RNAcentral's name for it is "partial 16S ribosomal RNA". It matches the Rfam family "Bacterial small subunit ribosomal RNA", at positions 28 to 507 of the family's 1533-position model. The record is from RNAcentral.
GAUGAACGCUGGCGGCGUGCCUAAUACAUGCCAGUCGAGCGAACGGACGAGAAGCUUGCUCCUCUGACGUUAGCGGCGGACGGGUGAGUAACACGUGGAUAACCUACCUAUAAGACUGGGAUAACUUCGGGAAACCGGAGCUAAUACCGGAUGAUAUUUUGAACCGCAUGGUUCAAAAGUGAAAGACGGUCUUGCUGUCACUUAUAGAUGGAUCCGCGCUGCAUUAGCUAGUUGGUAAGGUAACGGCUUACCAAGGCAACGAUGCAUAGCCGACCUGAGAGGGUGAUCGGCCACACUGGAACUGAGACACGGUCCAGACUCCUACGGGAGGCAGCAGUAGGGAAUCUUCCGCAAUGGGCGAAAGCCUGACGGAGCAACGCCGCGUGAGUGAUGAAGGUCUUCGGAUCGUAAAACUCUGUUAUUAGGGAAGAACAAAUGUGUAAGUAACUAUGCACAUCUUGACGGUACCUAAUCAGAAAGCCACGGCUAACUACGUG